AGAGUUUGAUCAUGGCUCAGGAUGAACGCUAGCGACAGGCUUAACACAUGCAAGUCGAGGGGCAGCGAGGGAGUGGCAACACUUCUGUCGGCGACCGGCGCACGGGUGAGUAACGCGUAUGCAACCUGCCCACCACUUGGGGAUAACCUUGCGAAAGUAAGACUAAUACCCAAUGACGUCUCUAGAAGACAUCUGAAAGAGAUUAAAGAUUUAUCGGUGAUGGAUGGGGAUGCGUCUGAUUAGCUUGUUGGCGGGGUAACGGCCACCAAGGCGACGAUCAGUAGGGGUUCUGAGAGGAAGGUCCCCCACAUUGGAACUGAGACACGGUCCAAACUCCUACGGGAGGCA
This 348-nucleotide ribosomal RNA is filed under the name uncultured bacterium. RNAcentral describes it as "bacterial SSU rRNA". It matches the Rfam family "Bacterial small subunit ribosomal RNA", at positions 8 to 350 of the family's 1533-position model. The record is from RNAcentral.